GGCGGGCUUCCCAUCUCCUGGACACCCCCAGGCAGCCCUCCUAGACGUCUAGCUCAAGACUCUGAACCGGACUCCGAAUCCCUUCCUGGUCCAUCAAGGCGGCCGGCCUGGGGACAGGCGGGGGAGACGUCACAGGAGAUACCCCCGCCCCAAGAUGCCUGAAACCUCCACGGGCUCCCAAUGAACCUCCCAAAUCGAAGCCCCUACAACAUGCUCUCAACAUUUCCAGAACAUCUACUGAGGGUACCCAGGUUUUUUCCCUGUCACCUCCUCCCCUCGCCCUAUUCCAAGCCCCACCAUGAAGAGCUGUAAAUGAGAUUGAUAGCCACGCACAUCAGACUUCACAGACUUUUUUAAGGAUAGGCACAAGAAGACUCGUUGAAGUGCCAUGCAAACUCCAAAGCACAGGAAAACCGAAUGGAAUUAUCAUCUUGCCCCCAUGGGGCUCCACACCCCUCCACCCCGACAGACUUGCUGGAUUACAGAUUGGGAGAUGGAGGCAGGCUAUAGACAUACAAUUGAGCACACCAACCUGUAGUAGGAGUGGGAGUUAAUAAGGAAGAGAAGGAGGCACUAAACACCUAAAAGCAGCCCCCAAAUUGAGCUACGUUGAAGUCAUUCUCCAUCUCAACCUCCACUCCGAAAUCCAACGCUGACAGUGGAUCCUUACCUUGCAAAGCCAGCUCUUGGCCCAGGAGACUGGCUGGGGAGGCCCUAGGGAGCUGAACUCAGCUGGACUGGACUUCUUUGACCUGCACUAGAGGGACCCUGGAGACUCUUCUUCACUGAAGGAAGGAGCAGAAAGCCUGUAAGUCUGGUCUAAAUUCCAGCUGGGGUGGAUAGCAAAAAAUAAUUUGUCCUCUUUGAGAUGGACAAGUGCUGUUCUAAUUCAAUGAGUUUAGUUUGUGCCGUCUCUCCCUAACCCAGGAACAGCAGGAGGCUGAACUACAGGAAUCUCUGGUCACUCAUUGACAGGGCUGGCCUUAGCAGGGGACCCCCCACGGCUGGAGACUGAAGCUGACUGGGGCCAAGCAGCAGACAAGGAGGGGGAGGGGAGAGGCCGCCCUUUGCUGCCACCUGCUAUAGCUAAUGGAGGUGGAACACUCAAGAUCCAGAAUAUGCUGUGGGUACCAGGAAGUCCUAGGAUUUGAGGAGCGAGACUCUAGUUUUUCCUUUCUUCAUACUGUUUGAAGUCAUGAAAGUAAUUCUGAUGAACCUUCAUGAGGCAGAUCACAACAGUAAUAUUCAGGCUAUUUGGGUAUGUAAAAAAAGGAAGAAGGAAAAAACCCAAACUGUUGUAUCCCAUGUGCCAAGACCCAGCACUGAGGGGAGGGGUCCAGAUUGCAGUACCUCAGAGGCUUUUCACUUCAUUCUGUUUCACGGCCCCCAGCUCCUCUUUACUGUACUGGGCAGGAGGAAUUUCAGGGAAUAAUCAAGCCUGCCAUGGAGGCAGUGGAUGCUGAGGUAGAGGGUCGAAACAGCACCCAACUUCUCUCACUGACCUCCCAACACAGGGACCAGCUGACCCUAUGAUAAAGGCGCUGUGCAAUGUGUCCUCUCCCCUGCUGUGUCAGGCCUCUAUGUUCCCACAGUUAGAGCACUCAGGGGACUAAAGACCUACCGCCCCCACUCUCCAUCCCCGCCCUGCUCCACAUCUGGAGCCCAUCAAAAAACUCAGCGCUCUCUCACAGUUACGCAAGAGGUCGAGCAGCUGGGAGCUCAGGAAAGGGGGAGGAAGAGAGGGAAAGAAAGCAGAAAACAGCUUUCCAGGCCUGCUUCAGACUUUCCGAAGUGGAAGCAGGGGGAGAGGGCAAAGCCUGGGUGUGGAAGGAAGAGUGGAUUUUUCUAAGGCCCUUUGCAUUGGCUACAAGUGUCAGGAGUGAAUUUCCAUACUCCUGCUUUUGCCUUGGCACAUUCCCCACUUUGUCCCACCUCUCAAAUUGUACUCCCUCUAGCCCCAGAGAGGUGAUUAUUGCUCAUACAGCAAGCAAUCCUUGUAGAUACACACCCUCUUCCAGAAAGCUGUCCGUUUCUGGCCUCUGGAUCCUGAAGUCAGGCAUCAUUGGUGUAGGCGUGGUGGUAGCAAUGACCCUGCAGCAACUUGGGGAAAAGUUCAAAGCUCUCUUUUCAGCUGUCUUAGAAAUUGCAUAGUCUGCUUCUACCCAAAGCUAACAUGCAUCCAAGCUAAGUGGGAAAUUUGGGUAGGACAGAAGACUGGUCUUGUGUACCUCCAAGGCUAAGGGCUUUCC
Molecule: long non-coding RNA, 2249 nt
Filed under: Pan troglodytes (chimpanzee)
Lineage: Eukaryota; Metazoa; Chordata; Mammalia; Primates; Hominidae
Description: long non-coding RNA NONPTRT003215
Source: RNAcentral